ACGCUCGACACCUACGGGAGACAGCAGUGGGGAAUAUUGCACAAUGGGGGGAAACCCUGAUGCAGCGACGCCGCGUGAGCGAAGAAGUAUUUCGGUAUGUAAAGCUCUAUCAGCAGGGAAGAAAAUGACGGUACCUGACUAAGAAGCCCCGGCUAACUACGUGCCAGCAGCCGCGGUAAUCUGAGCGGGCUGGCAAGGC
RNAcentral lists this ribosomal RNA (199 nucleotides) under uncultured bacterium. Its description in RNAcentral is "partial 16S ribosomal RNA". It matches the Rfam family "Bacterial small subunit ribosomal RNA", at positions 328 to 539 of the family's 1533-position model. The record is from RNAcentral.